AACCAUAGAAACCUGCGGAGUACCUGCGGAAGGAUCAUUACCGAGUUAUACAACUCAUCAACCCCUGUGAACUUACCUACAACGUUGCUUCGGCGGGAACAGACGGCCCCGUAAAACGGGCCGCCCCCGCCAGAGGACCCCUAACUCUGUUUUUAUAAUGUUUUUCUGAGUAAACAAGCAAAUAAAUUAAAACUUUCAGCAAUGGAUCU
RNAcentral lists this unclassified non-coding RNA (209 nucleotides) under soil metagenome. Its description in RNAcentral is "partial contains 5.8S ribosomal RNA, internal transcribed spacer 2, and large subunit ribosomal RNA". The record is from RNAcentral.